This is a long non-coding RNA of Notolabrus celidotus (New Zealand spotty), 1325 nucleotides long. RefSeq lists it as uncharacterized. Lineage: Eukaryota; Metazoa; Chordata; Actinopteri; Labriformes; Labridae. The record is from RefSeq and is a predicted model, not a curated record. The transcript is spliced from 4 exons.
GACCCUUCACCGCUGACACAGUGUUCUCAGAUGAGGACGUGGAAGCAGCUAUUGUUGUUUUGAGACACUCUGCAGAUGAAGACACUAUCUGUGAGAAGAUGAAAGCUACCUUUGUUUAUCGUCAGUCAAUGGUCAACGAUGAAAAGAAAGCAGAAGAUGUCUUCUCAGUCUUCCCGCGGUUUCUGGACACAAGCGGACUGAUAGAACAAGAUUUCAGACUCCUGUUUGGUGAGGCCACCGCCAACAAAUUCAUGGAGAGGUGGCCGACCAAUCUCAAGAGCCAAAGUUGUAAAGGAAAGCCAUGGACUGGUGCCCACCACAGAGCUCUUGGAGUUACUGUGCAAUGCUGAGUGUGAAGCUGAGAAUGGCUGGGACAGUGACAUGUCUGCUAUCUUACUGCUGCUACAUCUGCUACCACCAUCCACGCUAGGACGAAAGAGACCAGGAAAGAUGUCUGCAUCUCAAGCUGUCGACAGCCUCAUCAAAUUCAUAAAGGCGGGAACCAGUGUACAGCUGCACCUAGACAACGUCACCCAAAGCAGUCAGCCUUACCUUCUUGCUCAGCGACCCACAAGAAGCAGCAUUCAAGCCUUCUUCAUUGUGAUUGACAAGCAUGCACUUCCAAGUAAGGCGACAGGUUCAGUGGGAGCCCUUGACGAACUCUUUAAGGCCCAUUCUGUCUUUCGUACGUCAUACAGUUCUUCUCUGAACAACUUUUUCACUUUCCUGCAAACAACCAUUUACAACAUUGACGUUGGGGAAACAAAGGAAACUCCAAGAGUUGCAGAGUUGCGAGCAAGAAUGGUGCGUUAGUAUCCGUUAAGGUAGUUCAUGUUUUUUGUCCUGGCAGGUUGUGAUCCUAAAUGUGGCCAAGUAGGAUCCUAACGUUCUUUUGGUAGCUUUUCUGGCAUUGCCAGUAGUGUUCAAGUUCUGAAAGUGAACUGGGCUAAACACAAUGGGUUUGUUAACGCCCAUAUUUGGUUAUUUGUGGCAGAGUCUGAAAUGCCUUUGUUUUACCAGAUUGAGUCAGUUCUGAUAAUACAUGAGAAACUGUUGUUGCUCACUUUGCUGUUAUGCACAGUAACAUUUCAAGAACAUUUUCAUGUCUAUGAGUUGACAAGGACUAAGCAAGAUUUUGUUUUCUUUCAUGUCAACAAACUGCAAUAUCCAAGGCCUUUAGACAUACAAAUGUCAUGGAAUGAAUGACACAGCUCUUUGUGGUCCCAUAUUGCUUUCUCUUGAGCAUCAAAGCAUUGUAUUAAAUAUGUCAUGGUUUGUUAUUUAUAUGACAUAGAAUGAGAAACAUAAUAAAUGCUGUAACUGUA